This 473-nucleotide ribosomal RNA is filed under the name uncultured bacterium. RNAcentral describes it as "bacterial SSU rRNA". It matches the Rfam family "Bacterial small subunit ribosomal RNA", at positions 55 to 527 of the family's 1533-position model. The record is from RNAcentral.
AUGCAAGUCGAGCGGAACGAUCCUAGCUUGCUAGGAGGCGUCGAGCGGCGGACGGGUGAGUAACGCGUAGGAACUUACCCAGUAGUUGGGGAUAGCCCGGAGAAAUCCGGAUUAAUACCGAAUAAUCUCUAAGGAGGAAAGUGGGCUUCGGCUCACGCUACUGGAUGGGCCUGCGUAAGAUUAGCUAGUUGGUGUGGUAAAGGCGCACCAAGGCGACGAUCUUUAGCUGGUCUGAGAGGAUGAUCAGCCACACUGGGACUGAGACACGGCCCAGACUCCUACGGGAGGCAGCAGUGGGAAUAUUGGACAAUGGGGGCAACCCUGAUCCAGCCAUACCGCGUGUGUGAAGAAGGCCUUCGGGUUGUAAAGCACUUUCAGACAGGAGGAAAAGUUGAUGGUUAAUACCCAUCAGCCGUGACGUUACUGUCAGAAGAAGCACCGGCUAACUCCGUGCCAGCAGCCGCGGUAAUACG